Molecule: ribosomal RNA, 377 nt
Filed under: uncultured Serratia sp.
Lineage: Bacteria; Pseudomonadati; Pseudomonadota; Gammaproteobacteria; Enterobacterales; Yersiniaceae
Description: bacterial SSU rRNA
Rfam family: Bacterial small subunit ribosomal RNA
Source: RNAcentral
UAAUACGGAGGGUGCAAGCGUUAAUCGGAAUUACUGGGCGUAAAGCGCACGCAGGCGGUUUGUUAAGUCAGAUGUGAAAUCCCCGGGCUCAACCUGGGAACUGCAUUUGAAACUGGCAAGCUAGAGUCUCGUAGAGGGGGGUAGAAUUCCAGGUGUAGCGGUGAAAUGCGUAGAGAUCUGGAGGAAUACCGGUGGCGAAGGCGGCCCCCUGGACGAAGACUGACGCUCAGGUGCGAAAGCGUGGGGAGGCAAACAGGAUUAGAUACCCUGGUAGUCCACGCUGUAAACGAUGUCGAUUUGGAGGUUGUGCCCUUGAGGCGUGGCUUCCGGAGCUAACGCGUUAAAUCGACCGCCUGGGGAGUACGGCCGCAAGGUUA